CAGCAUAUGGAGGUUUCCAGAGUAAGGGUCCAAUCAGAGCUACAGUUGCCUGCCUACACCAGAGCCACAGCAAGGAGGGAUCCGAACUGCUUCUGCAACCUACACCACAGUUCAGGGCAACGCCAGAUCCUUAACCCACUGAGCGAGGCCAAGGAUCAAGCCCACAUCCUCAUGAAUCCUAGUCGGGUUCGUUAACUGCUGAGCCACGAUGGAAACACCAGAAAUUUCUAUUUUUAAUCAAGCAUGCCAGGUACUAAGUUUUUGCAAAACAGUGCUGUAAGAUUCUAGUCAUAGAUAACAAGGAUUCAGGUUAGAGACCUUUAGAAUGGAAUCAGAAAUUUUGGUUUUAUCCUUCUUUCUAUCUUCACCCCUGGAUUCCAGAUCAUUGUGUACUAAAUGCGACUUUAAAUUCUUAACACCCUAGUGAUACCUGAAAGCACCAAUAACUGAUAGUCCUACCACUUUGGUGUCCCCAAAGAUUCCUACCACUUCUAUUUCCACUCUGCCCUUCUUCCAGGUUUUAGCCAGCCUGGUCCACUUACCUAUCACAAAAGCCCUGGGCUCCAUCUACAAGAAACCUUGGAUAUUUCUCCUUGUCCUCUUUGCUUUGGUUGAAUCACCAUCUUUUUUUUUUUUUAAUCAGUUUAUUUUAUUCUUAGUAGUAGAGCACGAAUGUUUUAGAGUAAAAAACCUACUUAGUUGAGCUUUAUUUUCCCAUCAUCUUUUUAAUUAAAAUUAUUUUCAGCUUUGAGGUAUAAAUGGAAAAUAAAAUUGUAAGAUAUUUAAAGUGCACAACGCAAUUAUUUGACAUCCAUAUAUAUUGUGGAAAGAUUCCACCCAUGUAGUUAAUUAACACAUCCAUCACUAUAUAUACACUAUAUAUAUAUAGUUUGGGGAAUUUUUUUGUUGAGAACAUUUAAGUUCUACUCUCCUAGCAAAUUUUAAUUAUACAUGCAGUGUUAUCAACUAUGGUUACAACGUUACACAUUAUUUCCUCAGACCUUAUUCAUCUUAUAGUUAAAAGUUUGUACCCUUUUACGAAUCUGUCCCUAUUUCCUAUACCUUCCAGCCCCUGGAAACCACUUUACUAGUCUCUGUUUCUAUGAGUUUGACUUUUUUUUUUUUAGAUUCCACAUAUAAGAGAUAUCAUGCAAAAUUUGUCUUUCUCUGUCUGGCUUAUUUCACUUAGCAUAAUACAUUUAAGGUCCAUCCAUGUUGGAGCAAACGGCAAAAUUCCCUUCUUUCUCAUGGCUGAAUAAUACACCUUUGCACAUAUGUGUAUACAGCUACUAUAUUUUAUUUAUUCUUUAUUCAUUUGUCCUUUCAUGAGCCCGUAGGUUAUCUCCAUAUCUUGGAUCAUCUAUUUUUCAGGUGGGAUUCAUAUCACUCUCUAAUCUUAUCCAAUGCUUCCUGGAAAGUGCAUCAUGCCAUGAGCCUACUUCCAGCUUCCACUGGCCACUAUAAGUAGACAGCCCCUUUUUCUUCCCAGGAUAUCUUUGUAUAUGUUUCAUUAAUUUCUUACUUCUGAACCAGGAGGUACCACUAGAGCUAAGCUCGUUCUCAAAACAGAAAUCCACCUAUCCAUUUCAAAAAGAGGUAUGAAGUGCCUGUUGUGAUCCAAGCACUGUUCUAUAGCAAUGAAUGCAAAAGACAUAACCCCUGACUUACGAAGCUUAAUUUUUAAUGGAGGAGAGAAAGUAAAUAAAGAAGUAAAAUAAUAUAAGACAGGGAUAAGAGUUACGAAGAAAAUAAUACAGCAAUACUAGUGAUGGCAGUAGGGUGGGUGGGUGUGUUUCAUUUUAGACUGGGUGCACAGAAAAAUCGUCUCUCAAGUGGGGAAAAUAAGGAGCCAGCUGUAGAAAGACCUACGGGAAGACAAUUCAAAGAAGAGGAUCCAGCUAGUACAAAAGACACAUGUCCUGUUCGAGGAACUGAAAGACCAGAGUGGUGCAAAGCAUGGAAAGAACCAAGAUGUAGGAUCUGCAUAGUGUGAGACCCCUGAAGGCCACAGUCAAGUGACUCAGAGAAGAUACUCUGGAGGUGGUUUUUAAUUCUAACAGCAACAGGAGGCCACUGAAAUGUUUCUUAUAGGAAAGGGACCUGGUCUGAGGGCAAGUUGAUUUCAGCCACUAUCUUGAUAUUAGAGUUUAGAAGAUGAAGAAGAAAAGCCUGUGGGCCAGUUAGGAUGCUCCUGUGUUGAGAGAUGAUGACGAAGUGGGUUAGGGAGGCAGCAGUGGAGAUGGAUGAAAUUGGAUACAUUGAGGAUGCAUCAUGUGGGAGGAGCUACUAGCCUUGAUGGUGGGCUGCAGUUAGGAGUGAUAAAAAGUGAGACAUUAGAUGCCUUCUAACUUUUUGGCUUGAGCAACUGGGUAGAUGGUGAUGUCAUCUACUAAAAUCUGGGAAAUCUGAGGAAAGGAGACAGGAGUGGGAAGGAACUAAGAGUUUCAUUUUAGACAUGUUAAAUUUGAGAUGCUUAUUGAAUAUCCAAGUGUGAUAAGAUCAAUCUGGAGAUAGAAAUCUGAGCACCAAUAUAUAAAAACAUCUUCUAAAGACAUGGGAUCCAUCUUCUUAGGGAGAGCUCUAAAAAGGGAUGAAAGUUCAG
Molecule: long non-coding RNA, 2602 nt
Filed under: Sus scrofa (pig)
Lineage: Eukaryota; Metazoa; Chordata; Mammalia; Artiodactyla; Suidae
Description: lncRNA (ENSSSCG00025069893.1)
Source: RNAcentral